UACGUAGGGGGCAAGCGUUGUCCGGAUUCAUUGGGCGUAAAGAGCGUGUAGGCGGCCAGGUAGGUCGGUUGUGAAAACUGGAGGCUCAACCUUCAGAGGUCGACCGAAACCAUCUGGCUAGAGUCCGGGAGAGGAGAGUGGAAUUCCGCGUGUAGCAGUGAAAUGCGUAGAUAUGCGGAGGAACACCGAUGGCGAAGGCAAUCCCCUGGGCCUGCACUGACGCUCAUGCACGAAAGCGUGGGGAGCAAACAGG
Molecule: ribosomal RNA, 253 nt
Filed under: uncultured bacterium
Lineage: Bacteria
Description: partial 16S ribosomal RNA
Rfam family: Bacterial small subunit ribosomal RNA
Source: RNAcentral